CAUAGCGACUAUCGUGGCAUAUCAAUAAGCGGAGGAAAAGAAACUAACAAGGAUUCCCCUAGUAACGGCGAGUGAAGCGGGAAGAGCUCAAAUUUGAAAUCUUAAAGGGUUUCCCUUUACGAAUUGUAGUUUAAAGAAGUGUUUUCUGUUGGAGUUUCGGUAGAAGUUCUUUGGAAUAGGACAUCAUAGAGGGUGAGAAUCCCGUAUUUGACCGUUACUUUCCAGCUGUGUGAUACACUUUCAAAGAGUCGGAUUGUUUGGGAAUGCAGUCCAAAAUGGGUGGUAAAUUUCAUCUAAAGCUAAAUAUUGGCGAGAGACCGGAUAGCGAACAAGUACCGUGAGGGAAAGAUGAAAAGAACUUUGAAAAGAGAGUUAAACAGUACGUGAAAUUGUCAAAAGGGAAGCGUUUGACACCAGUGUUGUUUAGUUGAAAAUCAAUUCAAUAAUUUUUGAUUUUGAGUAGUAUUGACUUCAUCAGCUUGCUGCUUUCUUUUCAGGAAAUUAUUGAAUGCACUUUUCAGUUAACAAGUCAACAUCAAUUUCUUUUGUUGUAAAAGGGUAAGAGGAAGGUGGCUUACGCUUCGGCGUAAGUGUUUAUAGCCUUUUACCUCUGCAAUCGGAGAGAUUGAGGACAGCAGCGUAGACUCUUCGGGGUUAGAUACACUUGUGCUAAGCUAUAGCCUUGUAUAGACAACUUGUUGACUAUGCUCAGUCAUGUAGCUUACUCGCUUGUGCUAUUUUACCUACGCUUAGGAUGUUGAUAUGCAUGACUGAUAU
Molecule: ribosomal RNA, 777 nt
Filed under: uncultured Neocallimastigales
Lineage: Eukaryota; Fungi; Neocallimastigomycota; Neocallimastigomycetes; Neocallimastigales
Description: partial large subunit ribosomal RNA
Rfam family: Eukaryotic large subunit ribosomal RNA
Source: RNAcentral